Molecule: transfer RNA, 34 nt
Filed under: Melanaphis sacchari
Lineage: Eukaryota; Metazoa; Arthropoda; Insecta; Hemiptera; Aphididae
Also listed under: 1 other name
Description: partial tRNA-Leu
Source: RNAcentral
AAUUCAUUUAUAAAGAAUAAUCUUUUUUUAGAAA